RNAcentral lists this ribosomal RNA (497 nucleotides) under uncultured bacterium. RNAcentral's name for it is "partial 16S ribosomal RNA". It matches the Rfam family "Bacterial small subunit ribosomal RNA", at positions 28 to 507 of the family's 1533-position model. The record is from RNAcentral.
GAUGAACGCUGGCGGCGUGCCUAAUACAUGCAAGUCGAGCGAACGGACGAGAAGCUUGCUUUUCUGAUGUUAGCGGCGGACGGGUGAGUAACACGUGGAUAACCUACCUAUAAGACUGGGAUAAUUUCGGGAAACCGGAGCUAAUACCGGAUAAUAUUUUGAACCGCAUGGUUGAAAAGUGAAAGACGGUCUUGCUGUCACGUAUAGAUGGAUCGGCGCUGCAUUAGCUAGUUGGUAAGUUAACGGCUUACCAAGGCGACUAGGGAUAGCCGACGUGGGAGGGGGAUAGGCGACCCUGGAACUGAGACAGGGACCAGACUCCUACGGGAGGGAGCAGUAUGGAAUCGUACGCAGUAGGGGAAAGCCUGACGGAGCAACGCCGCGUGAGAUAUGAAGGUCUUCGGUUCGUAAAGCUGUGUUAUGAGGUAAGAACAUAUGUGUAAGGAACUGUGCACAUAUUGACGGUACCUAGUCAGAAAGCCACGGCUAACUACGUG